AGAUGUGGGUAGUCCGCACGAGCGCACCCUGUCCUUAGUUGCCAGCACAUAAUGGUGGGGACUCUAAGGAGACUGCCUGGGAUAACCAGGAGGAAGGUGGGGAUGAUGUCAAGUCAGUAUGUCCCUUAUGUCCAGGGCUACACACGUGUUACAAUGGCCGGUACAAUGGGCUGCAAACCUGCGAGGGUAAGCCAAUCCCAAAAAACCGGCCCCAGUUCAGAUUGGAGUCUGCAACUCGACUCCAUGAAGGAGGAAUCGCUAGUAAUCGCGGAUCAGCACGCCGCGGUGAAUACGUUCCCGGGUCUUGUACACACCGCCCGUCAAGCCAUGGAAGUCGGCAGUACCCGAAGCCGGUGUCCCAACUCUUCGGAGAGGGAGCCGUCGAAGGUAAGGCUGGUAACUAGGGCUAAGUCGUAACAAGGUAGCCGUACCGGAAGGUGCGGCUGGAUCACCUCCUUUCU
RNAcentral lists this ribosomal RNA (461 nucleotides) under uncultured delta proteobacterium. Its description in RNAcentral is "bacterial SSU rRNA". It matches the Rfam family "Bacterial small subunit ribosomal RNA", at positions 1070 to 1533 of the family's 1533-position model. Lineage: Bacteria; Deltaproteobacteria. The record is from RNAcentral.